CAUGGUGUCCAUGAUGACUUUUCUUUCCCCGACAGAUCGACAAUGUUGAAAUUUAUAGUUAAAAGCCAAAACUGUCUGAGGCACCAUU
Erpetoichthys calabaricus (reedfish) is the source of this 88-nucleotide small nucleolar RNA. Lineage: Eukaryota; Metazoa; Chordata; Cladistia; Polypteriformes; Polypteridae. The record is from Ensembl.